UACAGAGGUCUCAAGCGUUGUUCGGAUUCAUUGGGCGUAAAGGGUGCGUAGGCGGCGCGGUAAGUCGGGUGUGAAAUCUUGGAGCUUAACUCCGAAACUGCAUUCGAUACUGCCGUGCUUGAGGACUGGAGAGGAGACUGGAAUUUACGGUGUAGCGGUGAAAUGCGUAGAUAUCGUAAGGAAGACCAGUGGCGAAGGCGGGUCUCUGGACCGAUAUCGACGCUGAGGAGCGAAAGCGUGGGGAGCGAACAGG
RNAcentral lists this ribosomal RNA (253 nucleotides) under uncultured bacterium. RNAcentral describes it as "partial 16S ribosomal RNA". It matches the Rfam family "Bacterial small subunit ribosomal RNA", at positions 524 to 776 of the family's 1533-position model. The record is from RNAcentral.